Molecule: ribosomal RNA, 497 nt
Filed under: uncultured bacterium
Lineage: Bacteria
Description: partial 16S ribosomal RNA
Rfam family: Bacterial small subunit ribosomal RNA
Source: RNAcentral
GAUGAACGCUGGCGGCGUGCCUAAUACAUGCAAUUCGAGCGAACGGACGAGAAGCUUGCUUCUCUGAUGUUAGCGGCGGACGGGUGAGUAACACGUGGAUAACCUACCUAUAAGACUGGGAUAACUUCGGGAAACCGGAGCUAUUACCGGAUAAUAUUUUGAACCGCAUGGUUCAAAAGUGAAAGACGGUCUUGCUAUCACUUAUAGAUGUAUCCGCGCUGCAUUAGCUAGUUGGUAAGGUAACGGCUUACCAAGGCAACGAUGCAUAGCCGACCUGAGAGGGUGAUCGGCCACACUGGAACUGAGACACGGUCCAGACUCCUACGGGAGGCAGCAGUAGGGAAUCUUCCGCAAUGGGCGAAAGCCUGACGGAGCAACGCCGCGUGAGUGAUGAAGGUCUUCGGAUCGUAAAACUCUGUUAUUAGGGAAGAACAUAUGUGUAAGUAACUGUGCACAUCUUGACGGUACCUAAUCAGAAAGCCACGGCUAACUACGUG